UACGUAGGGGGCAAGCGUUGUCCGGAAUCAUUGGGCGUAAAGAGCGUGUAGGCGGCCCGGUAAGUCGGCUGUGAAAGUCCAGGGCUCAACCCUGGGAUGCCGGUCGAUACUGCCGGACUAGAGUUCGGAAGAGGCGAGUGGAAUUCCCGGUGUAGCGGUGAAAUGCGCAGAUAUCGGGAGGAACACCUAUGGCGAAGGCAGCUCGCUGGGACGUUACUGACGCUGAGGCGCGAAGGCGUGGGGAGCAAACGGG
RNAcentral lists this ribosomal RNA (253 nucleotides) under uncultured bacterium. RNAcentral's name for it is "partial 16S ribosomal RNA". It matches the Rfam family "Bacterial small subunit ribosomal RNA", at positions 524 to 776 of the family's 1533-position model. The record is from RNAcentral.